UAAUACCACUUUCGGUCUCUUUAUUGGGAGACAGGCUGCCUAUAAAUAAACAAACAAACAAAUAAUGCUUGUUUUUCUCUUGACAUCGGCUCCUCUGGAGAUCUGGUGUACCUACUCCGAAGGCGCCCUUGGGGAAGCCAACAAUGCCAGAUUCAAUGGGCAUCAUAUCUAGGCACAUGGCUUUUAAAAGGCACUUCUGUGGUCCAACACAAGGCAGAGUCUCUCUGAGCGGCUGCAGGUGAACACACCAGGGCACCAAAGGGCCUGCAAACUCACCAUUCAAGAACAACCAGGGCGUGGUGUUCAAGAACGCCGAGACAUGACUCUGCUUGCCCCUUGUUCAGGAUGAUGCCUUUUGAAAAUAAUUGAAUGUUGAGCCUCAAGAGAAGCGCAAUGCGAGUUCAAUAUGCACUCAGCCAGUGGACAAAGAAAAUGCCCCACAUUGAGAAUCAAAAUUUGGGGGUGGAAGAGAGAAGGGGAUGAUCUCCCUCCGGGUGAUGGACCAAUUUCAAGAGUCAUUUCGUGAUGAUUAAACACGAGGAACAGAAAAAGAAAGUACGAGUCAGCCCUUCAAGCAAGAUUUCAUCAAGGAAGUCGUUUUAGAAGUGGGGGGAAAAUUAACUCCAUUAUUUCCUGCUUGGGAAUGCAGAUGGACAAUUCCAUGUUUUGGGAUCGAACGGAAAAUAAAGGGGAGAACAGGUGAAAGCGUUUGACUGUUGGCAUUUCUCACCUGGCUGUCUGUCUAAAGAUGAACGCAGGGACACUUUCCGCCAAUGAAACAGACCGGCUGGGAAACCUCCGAUUUAAGAUUAACGCUCAACAGCGUUCCUUUCCAGGGGCCAAAGGACGCAUGCAUACAAGAGGCAACCUCCAGAGGGGAAAAGGCCCCAGGGUCAGGAAGGAGGCAGGGUCAGCAGGGCGCGCGCAGGAGGCCCUGGGGCGCCUCUGCCCCGCAUCCAGAGCGGAAAGGAUCCGUCCCAAGUGACCCUCUCGCACACCGCCUGGCGGGGAGGAGGGGACGCUCCACUCCGCGAGAGGGGCUUGAGUUUCCCCCAAGGACCCAAGGCCGGCGCCAAGGCAGAGCCAGAGCCACCCGCGCGCCGCCAUCGCCGGUCUCCGCCCCGCCGGGCCUCCUUUCCACUCUCCGGCGACGCCAAGCCUCGACUGAGCCAGGCCAGGUCGGAGCCCCAGGCAGACAGGUAGGAGGGAGGGGAGGGCGCUGA
This 1223-nucleotide long non-coding RNA is filed under the name Pogona vitticeps (central bearded dragon). Its description in RNAcentral is "lncRNA (ENSPVIG00000019154.1)". Lineage: Eukaryota; Metazoa; Chordata; Lepidosauria; Squamata; Agamidae. The record is from RNAcentral.